Vombatus ursinus (common wombat) is the source of this 523-nucleotide long non-coding RNA. Lineage: Eukaryota; Metazoa; Chordata; Mammalia; Diprotodontia; Vombatidae. The record is from Ensembl.
AAGGCAUUUCCAUUCUUCUGGGUGUGAUCCAGGUUGGCCUUCCUGGCCUGGCUCAGAGGCCUGUGGAAUUCCAGCGUGGGACUCCACAAACAGGAGGUGGGACAAAGUGGGCCAAGGGUUUCCUUUCAGCUUCUCAUUGCCUCUUCUGAAUAUGUGUCCGCCUUGACAAACACUUGGCAGCAUUUGGCACCGUUGACUGCCUCUUUCUUCCUGGUUCUCGUCUGUACCGGGCAGGCCUGCUCCACCGAGACUGAUCUGUCCUCUGCAUUGGAGGUGAAAAGGAUGUCCAGAAGAGGGGCCAGUGCUCUAUCCACUGCACCACCUAGCUGCCCCCAUCUAUUCGAUUUUCAAGACCACAGACAAGUGCAUCCUUCAACAAGAGGAUGGUCCUAGGACCCAGCCACUGCGCCAUCUUGGAGACGUCUCCAGUUCCCGGGAACUAGUGGUUGCUGGUGGGGUUGCUCCUGCCCUCCAUGAGGAAGUGCCUGUCUGAUACUUCCGAAUAAAAGCUCAUGCCCUCUCA